ACUGACACACACACAGACACAUACACUGAUAGACAUACUGUGUGUGUCAGUAUGUCUGUACAUGUGCCUGUGUGUGUGUGUGUCAGUAUGUCUAUCAGUGCAUGUGCCUGUGUUUGUGUGUCA
This is a non-coding RNA of Pelobates cultripes (western spadefoot toad), 123 nucleotides long. The record is from the annotation of a GenBank genome assembly. Lineage: Eukaryota; Metazoa; Chordata; Amphibia; Anura; Pelobatidae.